GGGAGGGGAGUGAAAGAGAACCUGAAACCCUGUGUUUACAAGCUGUGGAACUACGUUAAGGUAGGACCGCGUACUUUUUGUAGAACGGUCCGGCGAGUUUCUUGUACCGGCAAGGUUAAGCACUUAAGGUGCGGAGCCGAAGUGAAAGCAAGUGUUAAUAGCACGCAUAAGUCAGUACAAGAAGACCCGAAACCGGGUGAUCUACCCAUGUCCAGGUUGAAGUCGCCGUAAAAGGCGAUGGAGGACCGAACGCACAUCCGUUGAAAAGGGUGGCGAUGAGGUGUGGGUAGGGGAGAAAUUCCAAUCGAACCCGGAGAUAGCUGGUUCUCCUCGAAAUAGCUUUAGGGCUAGCCUCGUAUUAGUCUGCCGGAGGUAGAGCACUGAAUUUCCUAGGGGGCGUCAAAGCCUACCGAAGAAUAUCAAACUCCGAAUGCCGGCCAGAUGAUGUACGGGAGUCAGACUGCACGAGAUAAGUUGGGUGGUCAAAAGGGAAAGAGCCCAGACCUACAGCUAAGGUCCCAAAGUGUGUGUUAAGUGGAAAAGGAUGUGGGAUUUCGAAGACAACUAGGAUGUUGGCUCAGAAGCAGCCAUACAUUCAAAGAGUGCGUAAUAGCUCACUAGUCGAGAGGUCCUGCGCCGAAAAUGUCCGGGGCUAAAACACGACACCGAAGCUGUGGAUCCGAAAGGAUGGUAGAGGAGCAUUCUUAAGUCGACGAAGCUGUACUGUAAGGAGCAGUGGAGAGUUAAGAAGAGAGAAUGCCGGAAUGAGUAGCGAGAUUUAAGUGAGAAUCUUAAAGGCCGAAUAUCUAAGGUUUCCAGGGUAAAGCUGAUCUUCCCUGGGUAAGUCGGGGCCUAAGGCGAGGGCGAGAGCCGUAGUCGAUGGAUAACAGGUUGAAAUUCCUGUACUGCCUUAUAACAGAACUGUGGGGACGCGGCGGCAGGCCACGAGCCGGGAAAGGAAAGCCCGGUGCAAGCGUGCGAUGGUCAGGGAGGCAAAACCCCCUGAGGAACAGGACACGUGAUGCGGAGCGAAAUAAAGUAGCGAAGAGUGGUGAGCCGGCGCCGAGAAAAGCCGCUAUUGUUUGUAAGGUACCCGUACCGUAAACCGACACAGGUGGAUGAGGAGAGAAUCCUAAGGCCGACGGGAGAAGCAUUGUUAAGGAACUCGGCAAAAUGACCCCGUAACUUCGGGAGAAGGGGUGCCCAUGAAAGUGGGCCGCAGAGAAUAGGCUCAAGCAACUGUUUAGCAAAAACACAGGUCUAUGCAAAACCGAAAGGUGAAGUAUAUGGGCUGACGCCUGCCCGGUGCUGGAAGGUUAAGGGGAGAGGUUAGCGCAAGCGAAGCUUUGAACUUAAGCCCCAGUAAACGGCGGCCGUAACUAUAACGGUCCUAAGGUAGCGAAAUUCCUUGUCGGGUAAGUUCCGACCCGCACGAAAGGCGUAAUGAUUUGGGCACUGUCUCAACAACACACCCGGUGAAAUUGAAAUACCAGUGAAGAUGCUGGUUACCUGCGCCAGGACGGAAAGACCCCAUGGAGCUUUACUCCAGCUUGAUACUGGGAUUCGGUAUUGCAUGUACAGGAUAGGUGGGAGGCUAUGAAGUGGGAACGCCAGUUUCCAUGGAGCCGACGUUGGGAUACCACCCCUGCAGUACUGGGCUUCUAACAUGCGGCCGUAAGCCGGCCGGUGGACAAUGCCAGGCGGGGAGUUUGACUGGGGCGGUCGCCUCCGAAAGAGUAUCGGAGGCGCUCAAAGGUUCCCUCAGAAUGGUUGGAAACCAUUCGAAGAGUGCAAAGGCAGAAGGGAGCUUGACUGCGACACCGACGGGUGGAGCAGAUACGAAAGUAGGACUUAGUGAUCCGGUGGUAUAAAGUGGGAUUGCCAUCGCUCAACGGAUAAAAGCUACCCUGGGGAUAACAGGCUUAUCACUCCCAAGAGUUCACAUCGACGGAGUGGUUUGGCACCUCGAUGUCGGCUCAUCGCAUCCUGGGGCUGUAGCAGGUCCCAAGGGUUGGGCUGUUCGCCCAUUAAAGCGGUACGCGAGCUGGGUUCAGAACGUCGUGAGACAGUUCGGUCCCUAU
Molecule: ribosomal RNA, 2081 nt
Filed under: human gut metagenome
Description: bacterial LSU rRNA
Rfam family: Bacterial large subunit ribosomal RNA
Source: RNAcentral